UGCGGGGGGAGCAAGCGUUGUUCGGAUUUACUGGGCGUAAAGGGCGCGUAGGCGGCCAGCACAAGUCAGUUGUGAAAUCUCCGAGCUUAACUCGGAAAGGUCAACUGAUACUGUGCGGCUAGAGUGCGGAAGGGGCAACUGGAAUUCUUGGUGUAGCGGUGAAAUGCGUAGAUAUCAAGAGGAACACCUGCGGCGAAGGCGGGUUGCUGGGCCGACACUGACGCUGAGGCGCGAAAGCCAGGGGAGCGAACGGG
Molecule: ribosomal RNA, 254 nt
Filed under: uncultured bacterium
Lineage: Bacteria
Description: partial 16S ribosomal RNA
Rfam family: Bacterial small subunit ribosomal RNA
Source: RNAcentral